UACGAAGGUGGCAAGCGUUACUCGGAAUGACUAGGCGUAAAGGGCAGGUAGGCGGCUCGAAAAGUCUGCUGUGAAAGCUCCCGGCUUAACUGGGAGAGGCCAACAGAUACUAUCGGGCUUGAGUAUGGGAGAGGGUACUGGAAUUCCCGGUGUAGCGGUGAAAUGCGCAGAUAUCGGGAGGAACACCGAUGGCGAAAGCAAGUACCUGGACCAUUACUGACGCUCAGCUGCGAAAGCUAGGGGAG
RNAcentral lists this ribosomal RNA (245 nucleotides) under uncultured bacterium. RNAcentral's name for it is "partial 16S ribosomal RNA". It matches the Rfam family "Bacterial small subunit ribosomal RNA", at positions 524 to 768 of the family's 1533-position model. The record is from RNAcentral.